Molecule: ribosomal RNA, 414 nt
Filed under: uncultured Singulisphaera sp.
Lineage: Bacteria; Pseudomonadati; Planctomycetota; Planctomycetia; Isosphaerales; Isosphaeraceae
Description: bacterial SSU rRNA
Rfam family: Bacterial small subunit ribosomal RNA
Source: RNAcentral
AGUCGAGAAUCUUCGGCAAUGGGCGCAAGCCUGACCGAGCGACGCCGCGUGGAGGACGAAGGCCUUCGGGUUGUAAACUCCUGUCGAGGGGGAAGAAGGGUCGCAAGACCUUGACUGAUCCCUGGAGGAAGCACGGGCUAAGUUCGUGCCAGCAGCCGCGGUAAGACGAACCGUGCGAACGUUAUUCGGAAUCACUGGGCUUAAAGCGCGUGUAGGCGGGACGGCACGUCGGUCGCUGAAAUCCCCCGGCUUAACCGGGGAACUGGCGUCGAUACGACCGUCCUGGAGGGGCGUAGGGGGACCUGGAACUUCCGGUGGAGCGGUGAAAUGCGUUGAGAUCGGAAGGAACGCCCGUGGCGAAAGCGAGGUCCUGGACGCCUACUGACGCUGAGACGCGAAAGCCAGGGGAGCGAA